UUGGUGUUCUAAAAAACAAUAUUUCCCUGUAGCCUCGCCCCUUUUCUUAGAAUCACAAGCGGCAUAACAUCGGUGGAAGACGGUUGUGUAUUUGGGUUAAAAGGUGAUCUACCACGCUCAUUAUAAUUAUCAAUAUGUCUUUUCAGAUAGUAAACAUCAAUGUUAGAAGUGAUGCGGUACAAAUUGGGAAUGGUCAAAAUGCCCUACACAUCAACAAUCAGCUACGGGAGGAGGUGGGUGAACUGAGAGAAGAGGUGAAUGAGUUAAAAGUAAGGGUAAGGCAACUGGAGGCUAAAGUACAGACUAAUGCUGACAGAGACACUGAGGAACCAGAAUAUCAGAUGGAUGACGAGGAGGAGGCUAUGAUUACUCUUGACAUCGUUAGUAUUGAUGGGAAUUUUGAAAUAAUGAUAAGUGUUAGCCGAGAUAAAACUGUCAGUGAUCUAGAAAAGAUCAUACAGGAGGAGUGUAGAAGGAAGUAUGAUGGAAUUGUAACAGCUUCUAGUAUUCUGUGUAUCGGCAGUAGAAACAGACAUGAUGAUAUCGACAACACUCUAACAUUAGCAGAUUAUGGUUUAGAGGAUGGUGAUACAGUCUACACUUUGAUGUAUAUGUGAUUGUAAAACAGGAAGAGCUCAUCUAGAUAUAGUCUUGUUCAGUGAACUGAUAUUUAUACUUUUGUCAUUUGAUUACUUUUAUUGGGAACCCUAGCCUUAUGUCAAUUGGAUUUUAUAUUAUGCUGUAGAACUGCACAAUAAAAUACAGACAUAACAAUAAGAACAACCUUUAUUCAACGAUAUUUAAUUUAUAACACUACAAAAAAGACUCGGGCGACAAACUGACAGUGACAAAACGAAACUUGGUUUAUAACACUACAAGAAAGACUCAGACGACAAACUGACACUUAUUAUAAAAUUAUUAUAGAUCAAAACACCUGCAUACUUAAAAGGCUUAAUUCUAUACUGACUAAAUACUUUUUUAAUCUUACAAACAAUGGAAAUAAUUACAAAGGUUUAUUUAGUCUUUGUGUGUAUGACAGAUGGGAAACGUAGUAGAGCCACAUUGUAAAAUAGUUUACUGCCAGAGAUCUAUUCUCGAGGGCAGAGAUCUAUUCUCGAGGUAGUUAGUUCUCUGUGUGCAAAAUGAUCAUCUAUGGCUUUCUUAUAGUGAAAUGAAAUGAAAUGGGGUUUAACGUCCUACUGUUCUGCUCCGAACUGGGCUAAUGAAGACGGGGAUACGCCAAACAGUAUGCUAUGGGGGAAAUUUUGCCCGGACAGCGGCACUACGGCCUACUCUUAUAUCGAAUUUCAACUGUCAAGGGGUCUUUUACGUGCAUGCAAAUGUGUACACGGGGCCUCGGUUUUUCGUCCCAUCCGAACGACUAGACAGUUGUCCUGCAUCACUGUCAAGGGGGGACCACGCAGGAAAAUCUGGGUGUUAACUUUCUCGGCCAAUGCAGGGAUCGAACACCCUACCUCCAAGCUAGCGAGCCAGCGUCUUACCCACUUAGCCACCGUGACCCCCUUUCUUAUAGUGACUUAAACAGCCAUACCUCCAAAGAUCAAUCUUGUAACACUAUCUUAGUGAUAACAGCGAUCAGUUUAGUAAAUAUAUCAUUGAUUUACAGCAGGUAUAUAAAACAGCUGCAUACAUACGACAACAAUACAGGUACUUAAACUAAUAUACAGGAACUAGACUAUAUGUAUAUGUAGUUUGUAAAUGACAUAUGGGAUUAAUUACAUGUUUAAUUAGAUCAUCGCCAGUCCGUAUCUUAACCGAAGUUUAUACAGAGUUGAAAAGUCAGUAUCAUAUGUUAUCAAAACAAAAAUCAGCUGAGAUCAUACAGUUCUAAGCAUUUAAAUGGCCGUUCAAUUUGAUGAAAGUUAUAGAGUACUUUGUUACAAUCUUGCAUCUGAAUACGUCGAUUUGAAGAUCAGGAACAAUUUCUCCGUUCGUGCCCUUUACAAGUUACGACUGCGGCAUCAAUCAAUACAAACGUUUCUAUUGAUAAACAGGCUUCAACCAUUCAGAUCUUUAAAAUAGUAUAUGAAUACUUUGAGGUCAAGAAUCGAUUCAAUAUUUAAGUCAUACUUUUUUCUGAUCAAUUGUUAAUUAAUUUCUUUUCUCUUUUGUAUAUAAAGUUUGUACAACAAUU
This is a long non-coding RNA of Patella vulgata (common limpet), 2155 nucleotides long. RefSeq lists it as uncharacterized. Lineage: Eukaryota; Metazoa; Mollusca; Gastropoda; Patellidae. The transcript has 3 exons. The record is from RefSeq and is a predicted model, not a curated record.